RNAcentral lists this ribosomal RNA (530 nucleotides) under uncultured bacterium. RNAcentral describes it as "bacterial SSU rRNA". It matches the Rfam family "Bacterial small subunit ribosomal RNA", at positions 980 to 1509 of the family's 1533-position model. The record is from RNAcentral.
UUUGACAUCCAGAGAAUUUAGCAGAGAUGCUUUAGUGCCUUCGGGAACUCUGAGUCAGGUGCUGCAUGGCUGUCGUCAGCUCGUGUUGUGAAAUGUUGGGUUAAGUCCGCAACGAGCGCAACCCUUAUCCUUUGUUGCCAGCACGUAAUGGUGGGAAACUCAAAGGAGACUGCCGGUGAUAAACCGGAGGAAGGUGGGGAUGACGUCAAGUCAUCAUGGCCCUUACGAGUAGGGCUACACACGUGCUACAAUGGCGUAUACAAAGAGAAGCGACCUCGCGAGAGCAAGCGGACCUCAUAAAGUGCGUCGUAGUCCGGAUUGGAGUCUGCAACUCGACUCCAUGAAGUCGGAAUCGCUAGUAAUCGUAAAUCAGAAUGUUACGGUGAAUACGUUCCCGGGCCUUGUACACACCGCCCGUCACACCAUGGGAGUGGGUUGCAAAAGAAGUAGAUAGCUUAACCUUCGGGAGGGCGUUUACCACUUUGUGAUUCAUGACUGGGGUGAAGUCGUAACAAGGUAAGCGUAGUGCU